Molecule: long non-coding RNA, 2092 nt
Organism: Malaclemys terrapin pileata
Lineage: Eukaryota; Metazoa; Chordata; Testudines; Emydidae
Exons: 2
Source: RefSeq, a predicted model, not a curated record
GUUUUUCUCUUUCUGAAAUGCAGGACCAGCAGCAGAAUUUGGCAACAGAUGGCUACAUGAAAAUAGACCCUUGCCUCAUUCAGUGCACAGAAUGGACCUGCUCUGGGGAUGAAACAGGAUUGUGAAGGAGACAUGUCUGUAGGACACCUACCUCAGAAGCUGGAAGACGUGCGGUGAAUGAGGCUGGGGAUUGUAGGAAGAGAAAGAAUUGUGUCAUAGAUAAAACAGAUGAAUGCUGCCCUGAAAAAUGGGAUUCUACCCCUGCCUCUUCCACAGAGUUCCUAUGUGAUGCUGGUCCCUUAAACCAAACUUUUCACUAAUUGUGUAUUCCUCAUUUUCUGGGUGCCUGACUUGAAACCUUGAGCACUCCAGCGCUAACUAAAUGAAAUAGGAGCUGUGCUUUGAACAUAUAAAGUGCUACAUAAUGAGAAGUACUCUGAAAAAAUCAGGUCCUCAGAAUCUCAAACUGGGCAUCCAUAAUUAAUAGUUACUUUGACCAUAAUUUCUCUGCACCUUGGUUCCCCAUCUGUAUAAUGGAAAUAAUAAUAUCCCCCUCAUCUCACAAGAGAGAGUUCUGAAAAUAAAUUCACUUAUUUGUGAAGCACUCAGAUACUAUAGUGAUAAGCUCUACAGAAAAGCAAAUGAAGAAGUAAUUCUGUCUUUGGAGCAGGGCUUGAAUAGCGUGCAGUGAACAGGGAGAAACCCAAAUCAUAAAUAGCUGCUGUGACAAAGUUCCUCCCCUAUCUUGGUGGGUCCUGCGCUUAUUGGCGGAUUUUCUUGCCUCAGAGAUUCACCAUGUGGGUUGGGGAACAGCCCAGAGACCUUCCCCUCUGGGAGAACCCACAGUCUAGGUCAAUUGGGAGGUUUCGGGGGAACCCGGGUCCGCCCUCUACUCCAGGUUCCAGCCUAGGGCCCUGUGGACUGCAGCUGUCUAUAGUGCCUCCUGUAACAGCUGCAUGACAGCUACAACUCCCUGGGCUACUUCCCCAUGGACUCCUCCAAACACCUUCCUUAUUCUCACCAUAGGACCUUCCUCCUGGUGUCUGAUAAUGCUUGUGCUCCUCAGUCCUCCAGCAACACACCCUCUCACUCUCAGCUCCUGAGAACUGGAUGACUUGGAGUAAGUCAUGCUUGGAUUUACCUCUCUGCCUUCUGCUUGUGUAGAGAUCCCAGGGGACAGAAAGACUUAGAGGAUUCAAAAGUCCACUGUGACUAGAGCUCAGGGAUGCAAGAAAAGUGUGGGAAUAACUGACAGAAGAGGUAUUGUCCGAGCAUCAGAAAAGGCAUAAGUUAGAAUGGAUAAUUGGGCCAAACCCUUUAGGAGAAAACCAGAACCUGAAUGAUUGGCUUUUAGCUCCCGGCUUCCCAAAACAUAACAGAGCUCGGAGGCACAGAGUCCAUCUUUGCCAGCUCUUUCCUCUGUGGGAUUCUAAGAGGUAUGUUCCUGCCAAGCUCCUUCCCGCUCCCCCCCUUUUCCAUUUUAGCAUGUAGCCAGACUAGAGAACACAAGAAAAAACCCUACUUAAGAUGUGGAGUCUUUCACAAUCUGAUACUGAACAAAGCAUGGGAAAUUCUGAGCAAAGAAAGAAAUGAAUGUUGUCCAUUCAGUGGCUUAUGUGGAAGGAAUUAUCUUCUUAGUAGACCGGUCUCAACAUCACACAGCCCAAACUGCAAUUAGACCUUUAAUGGCAAUCUUGACAUGGAGGUAAAAGAAUUGAUAACCAGGGAAAUUCAACUACUCUCAAGGCCUGGAAAUUGGUCUGGGACACAUGGACAAGACACUGUGCUGGAUCUUGCACCGCCCCACCAAUUCUGUAUCCUCUUCUGUGCAUAAAUGAAAGACUUUAGUAUACACUGCUAUGAACUGGAUGCCUUUCACAAAUGGUAAAUUCACUUAAAAGGAAAAAAUAUGAAAAUCCAGAUAAUUAAGAAUGCCAAAAAUAAUAGCUUGAUCAAUAAAUCCUUGAAAUGGACAUCCUAUUGGUCUUUGAUCCGGAAUCUGAGCUAACCAUACAAUAAAGACAAAACUGCAUGCAUGUUUAUUAUAUUGGUGUAAUUCAUACCACCAAGAAUAAACAUUUCCUAUGUCCUA